UGCUUAUUUAGUUUAAUUUUUUAGAAUUAUAUUUUGAAAAGAUAUGGGUAUUUUUAGGCAA
This 61-nucleotide transfer RNA is filed under the name Onchocerca volvulus. Its description in RNAcentral is "tRNA OVOC13528". Lineage: Eukaryota; Metazoa; Nematoda; Chromadorea; Rhabditida; Onchocercidae. The record is from RNAcentral.